UGCCAUAGCUCAGCUGGUAAAACAUCUGCCCGGUAAGCGGAGUGCCGCCGAUUCGACUCCGGCUCGGCUA
RNAcentral lists this transfer RNA (70 nucleotides) under Fasciola gigantica. RNAcentral describes it as "tRNA-Thr". Lineage: Eukaryota; Metazoa; Platyhelminthes; Trematoda; Plagiorchiida; Fasciolidae. The record is from RNAcentral.